RNAcentral lists this ribosomal RNA (497 nucleotides) under uncultured bacterium. Its description in RNAcentral is "partial 16S ribosomal RNA". It matches the Rfam family "Bacterial small subunit ribosomal RNA", at positions 28 to 507 of the family's 1533-position model. The record is from RNAcentral.
GAUGAACGCUGGCGGCAUGCCUAAUACAUGCAAGUCGAGCGAACAGACGAGGACUUUGCUCCUAUGACGUAAGCGGAGGAGGGGAGGGUAACAUGGGGAUAACCUCACUAUAAGCAUGGGAUACAUUCGGGAAAACAGUGCUAAUACCGGCUAAUAUAUUGAAAAGGAUGGGGACCUAGUGAAAGAAGGUUUUGGUGUCGGUUAUAGCCGGCUCCGUGACGAAUUAGGUAGUUGGCUAGGUAACGGCUUACCAAGGCGACGAUGAGUAGCCGGCCUGAGAGGGCGACCAGCCACACUGGAACUGAGACACGGCCCAGACUCCUACGGGAGGCAGCAGUAGGGAAUCUUCCGCAAUGGGCGAAAGCCUGACCCAGCAACGCCGCGUGAGUGAUGAAGGACUUCGGAUCGUAAAGCUCUGUUAUUAGGAAAGAACAAAUGUGUAAUUAACUAGGCACGUCUUGACGGUACCGAAUCAGAAAGCCACGGCUAACUACGUG